This 253-nucleotide ribosomal RNA is filed under the name uncultured bacterium. RNAcentral's name for it is "partial 16S ribosomal RNA". It matches the Rfam family "Bacterial small subunit ribosomal RNA", at positions 524 to 776 of the family's 1533-position model. The record is from RNAcentral.
UACGUAGGGGCCGAGCGUUGUCCGGAGUUACUGGGCGUAAAGCGCGCGCAGGCGGCCCGCCAGGUCCGGCGUGAAAGCCCCCGGCUCAACCGGGGAGGGUCGUCGGGGACCGGCGGGCUCGAGGGCGGCAGGGGCCGGUGGAAUUCCCGGUGUAGUGGUGAAAUGCGUAGAGAUCGGGAGGAACACCCGUGGCGAAGGCGGCCGGCUGGGCCGUCCCUGACGCUGAGGCGCGAAGGCGUGGGGAGCGAACGGG